UGCAAUAGAAGUUUUAUUAAUGUGUUGGGUCAAUUAUACCACAAUUGGACCAAUGCCCAAAACGAAAACACAAAUACAUUCAUGUCUUCGUGAGGAAGCAAGUUGGACACGUCACCCACCGCUCCGAACAGUCUUCGACUCCGACGAUCACCACCGUCAAUGUCCGCCGUUCAAAUCUCAUGCAUCUGAUCUUGAUCCAAAACUCCAGCUGUUUCACCUUUGUCGCCUUAAUCUUCCUCUUCAUCGGUUAUGCUCAGAUGCUAGAGAAGCGCAACCCCUCUUCAUCGGAAAACCAGCGCGAGGAUAUUAAGACCGCCCACUCAGGACUGAUGGCAAAAGGAUAUUGCUGAUAUUACUCCCUAGAAACAGAAGACAGAAGAGAUUCACCAAGAAAAGUAAGUGAAGGAAUAAAAUCAAUUGAAACCGGUGAGACGCCAUUAAAUCCAAUCUAAGAUCGGAAUUAAAAAUCAGUCUUAACCGUGAGAAAUAUAUUACAAACAAAACCCAUCCCGAAAGACUGAAACUUUAGUAAAAAAAAAACUGAAACUUUAUUUAAUCAACUUCAACCGAUGAAAGAAAUAUAAACUUGAAGGAACUGAUCGGAAUAUUGAAAAUCACAACAUAAAGUCGAUCAUAGAUCGAAAUAUAUAAAAGAAAAAACAGUCGGGCUAUGGUCGGAAGAAAUUCCGAUGUACCAGAAUCGCUCUCUUUCUCUCUCUCUUUGAAAGAUAGAGAUGUGAUCAGAAAGAAAGAGGCGACUUAUGCCCCGUGAUUUGAUUUUAGGUUUAAGAUACACGUAAUUUAAGGUGAAGUAAAGUCAAUUUAUUUUAGUUGGUUUAGGAAAAGUUUAAGACGACAGUUUAAUAGGUCAGUGGCAUUCCGUGGUAAUUAUUUAAAAAAACUCAGGGCUAAGUACUAAGUGUACUUCUGUUUUAAUAGUUUAGAUAGGUCAGUG
RNAcentral lists this long non-coding RNA (955 nucleotides) under Brassica napus (rape). RNAcentral's name for it is "long non-coding RNA (BNAP_LNC009719)". The record is from RNAcentral. Lineage: Eukaryota; Viridiplantae; Streptophyta; Magnoliopsida; Brassicales; Brassicaceae.